GUGCUCACUUCAGCAGCACAUAUACUAAAACUGGAACAACAUAGAGAAGAUUAACAUGGCCCCUGUGCAAGGAUGACACGCAAAUUCAUGAAGCGUUCCAUAUUUUU
Molecule: small nuclear RNA, 107 nt
Organism: Heterocephalus glaber (naked mole-rat)
Lineage: Eukaryota; Metazoa; Chordata; Mammalia; Rodentia; Bathyergidae
Source: Ensembl